Molecule: transfer RNA, 74 nt
Filed under: Microcaldota archaeon
Lineage: Archaea; Nanobdellati; Microcaldota
Also listed under: 1 other name
Description: tRNA-Arg
Rfam family: tRNA
About the family: Transfer RNA (tRNA) molecules are approximately 80 nucleotides in length. Their secondary structure includes four short double-helical elements and three loops (D, anti-codon, and T loops). Further hydrogen bonds mediate the characteristic L-shaped molecular structure. tRNAs have two regions of fundamental functional importance: the anti-codon, which is responsible for specific mRNA codon recognition, and the 3' end, to which the tRNAs corresponding amino acid is attached (by aminoacyl-tRNA synthetases). tRNAs cope with the degeneracy of the genetic code in two manners: having more than one tRNA (with a specific anti-codon) for a particular amino acid; and 'wobble' base-pairing, i.e. permitting non-standard base-pairing at the 3rd anti-codon position.
Source: RNAcentral
GCCCCCAUAGUCUAGCCUGGAUAAAACGCUGGCUUGCGGAGCCGGAGUCCGGGGUUCGAAUCCCCGUGGGGGCG